CAAAGAAAAUGACUAAAACCCUAUUUAUAGGCAAAAAUCACGAGUUUGGGCUGUUCCGGGCGCUCAGGCGCCAAUUCAGAGCGCCUGAGCGCCAAUUCCAUCCUGAAAAUGAGCCCCUGGAAGGUAAUUGGCGCCUAGGCGCCAAUUAAGCACACCUAGGCGCCAAUUCCAGACCCCUGGAAAAAGCAAUUGGCGCCUAGGCGCCAAUGGAGCACGCCUAGGCGCUCUGACUCGCUGGAAAACCUUUUGAUCUUCAUUUUAACUCCCCUUUACUCCUCUUUAAGCCUCCCUUCAAUU
RNAcentral lists this long non-coding RNA (297 nucleotides) under Lotus japonicus. RNAcentral describes it as "long non-coding RNA (LJAP_LNC000333)". The record is from RNAcentral. Lineage: Eukaryota; Viridiplantae; Streptophyta; Magnoliopsida; Fabales; Fabaceae.